RNAcentral lists this small nuclear RNA (107 nucleotides) under Tursiops truncatus (common bottlenose dolphin). Lineage: Eukaryota; Metazoa; Chordata; Mammalia; Artiodactyla; Delphinidae. The record is from RNAcentral.
GUGCUCACCUUGGCAGCACAUAUACUAAAAUUGGAAUGAUACAGAGGAGAUUAGCAUGGCUCCUGUGCAAGGAUGACACGCAAAUUUGUGAAGUGUUCCAUAUUUUU